AAUAGAUACCCCGGUAGUCCACGCCGUAAACGAUGAGUGCUAAGUGUUAGAGGGUUUCCGCCCUUUAGUGCUGCAGCUAACGCAUUAAGCACUCCGCCUGGGGAGUACGGCCGCAAGGCUGAAACUCAAAGGAAUUGACGGGGGGCCCGCACAAGCGGUGGAGCAUGUGGUUUAAUUCGAAGCAACGCGAAGAACCUUACCAGGUCUUGACAUCCUCUGACCUCCCUGGAGACAGGGCCUUCCCCCUUCGGGGGACAGAGUGACAGGUGGUGCAUGGUUGUCGUCAGCUCGUGUCGUGAGAUGUUGGGUUAAGUCCCGCAACGAGCGCAACCCUUGACCUUAGUUGCCAGCAUUGAGUUGGGCACUCUAAGGUGACUGCCGGUGACAAACCGGAGGAAGGUGGGGAUGACGUCAAAUCAUCAUGCCCCUUAUGACCUGGGCUACACACGUGCUACAAUGGAUGGUACAAAGGGCUGCGAGGCCGCGAGGUUAAGCCAAUCCCAGAAAACCAUUCCCAGUUCGGAUUGCAGGCUGCAACCCG
This 541-nucleotide ribosomal RNA is filed under the name uncultured bacterium. RNAcentral describes it as "bacterial SSU rRNA". It matches the Rfam family "Bacterial small subunit ribosomal RNA", at positions 777 to 1314 of the family's 1533-position model. The record is from RNAcentral.